UGACUGACCGAUAGUGAACCAGUACCGUGAGGGAAAGGCGAAAAGAACCCCGGCGAGGGGAGUGAAAAAGAACCUGAAACCGUGUACGUACAAGCAGUGGGAGCACGCUUAGGCGUGUGACUGCGUACCUUUUGUAUAAUGGGUCAGCGACUUAUAUUCUGUAGCAAGGUUAACCGAAUAGGGGAGCCGAAGGGAAACCGAGUCUUAACUGGGCGUUAAGUUGCAGGGUAUAGACCCGAAACCCGGUGAUCUAGCCAUGGGCAGGUUGAAGGUUGGGUAACACUAACUGGAGGACCGAACCGACUAAUGUUGAAAAAUUAGCGGAUGACUUGUGGCUGGGGGUGAAAGGCCAAUCAAACCGGGAGAUAGCUGGUUCUCCCCGAAAGCUAUUUAGGUAGCGCCUCGUGAAUUCAUCUCCGGGGGUAGAGCACUGUUUCGGCAAGGGGGUCAUCCCGACUUACCAACCCGAUGCAAACUGCGAAUACCGGAGAAUGUUAUCACGGGAGACACACGGCGGGUGCUAA
RNAcentral lists this ribosomal RNA (524 nucleotides) under Escherichia coli. Its description in RNAcentral is "partial 23S ribosomal RNA". It matches the Rfam family "Bacterial large subunit ribosomal RNA", at positions 477 to 1001 of the family's 2925-position model. The record is from RNAcentral. Lineage: Bacteria; Pseudomonadati; Pseudomonadota; Gammaproteobacteria; Enterobacterales; Enterobacteriaceae.